RNAcentral lists this ribosomal RNA (252 nucleotides) under uncultured prokaryote. RNAcentral describes it as "partial 16S rRNA". It matches the Rfam family "Archaeal small subunit ribosomal RNA", at positions 475 to 726 of the family's 1478-position model. The record is from RNAcentral.
ACCGGCGGCUCGAGUGGUGGCCGCUAUUACUGGGCUUAAAGCGUUCGUAGCUGGCUUGUUAAGUCUCUGGGGAAAUCUUCCGGCUCAACCGGAAGGCGUCUCAGGGAUACUGGCAGGCUAGGGACCGGAAGAGGUGAGAGGUACUCCAGGGAGAGGGGUGACAGGCUAUGAUCCUAGGGGGAACACCGGUGGCGAAGGCGGCACACCGGGAAGGAUCCGACAGUGAUGAGAGAAAGUUUGGGGAGCAAGGAG